GGACAAUCACUUAUAUAAAAUACCAUCACACAGAUAUGACUAGAGGAAUCAGAGAAAAUGUUUUGGUUGGUUGGUUUUGGUUUUGUAAUAUUUCAGUUAUGAAAACUACAGGAACUAUAUGUUGCCAUGAUUGAGCACCAUAUCAAAACACACUUCCCAAAGGGAAGAACUAUUUUGGACCUGAACUAGAGUUCUGGUCCAAACACACUGACCCAGAGCUGGUGUGACUGGGUUGGCAGCCUUGACACUUGUCAACUUCAUCUCAGUCCAUCCUUUUAAAAAAUGGACUUGGUCAGUCUCCACCUUGUUACGCUGACCUGCAGCUAAACAGAUUCACUGAGGAACUGAUCCUUAUUGGUUCAGACAGGAACAGAGUUUGGGCUCUGCAAAGAAGCACACGCCAGCUCGGAUCACUGUCACAGACAUCAGAAGGAAGUUUGCCAAUUCAACCCCGAGCCUACUGUGACCCACAUUCCACAGUCCGUGUUUGUUUCAUUUUUAUAGCAACCUAUAGCAAAUUCAUAUUUGCUGGCAUCUUCUUCCUGAUGGGACUCUUCGUUUCAUAUGGCUUCAACGACACGAUCUAUCCUCCCUUCCAUGUGGAUGUAAAUUACACGAUUAAACACACAGACCUGAAGUAAUGGUCUGGAAGAGACAGCUAUGUUUCAGUUCAGGGGAAAGAGGUGGGUUGCACACAAACAGCCAAAAUUACAACUGUAACUGUAAAAUUACAACUGUAAGAAAAUGUUAUGUUCAGCAUUGUCUUGUUAAAAUAUCCAAGAAUUUCCCUGAAAAGGGCGUCAUCUGAAAUCGAGGGCUACUUACCUGGGAAGCUUUAUAUACCUUUCAGCACAGAAGCCACUAAUAUACCCCACUGCCAUCAGAGGCUUUUGAACUCAGUGCUGAACAAAAAGUCAGAUAAUCCCUCUUUAGUCUGGAUGAUGCGAUGUCCUUAUUUUUCAAAAAGAAUGUAACUUUUUGAUUUGUCUGCUGAUUGAAGCGUUUCUGGAUCAUGUUCACUUAUGGUGUCUUCUUGGCAUGACUUGAAGCUUUUUUUCUGUAUUUGUUGAUGGCACAGUGAACUGUGAUCACAGAGAGUGAUUUAGGCGUGUGUUGAGUCCGUGCAGUCAUUUCAACACAGAAUCAUCCCCAUUUUUAAUGCAGUGCAACUCGAGGGUCAUCUUUAAACUGUUUUUAAUUUUUUUAACCCAAAUGUAAAUAAAAUCUGUGCUUUUCAUCAGUCUAAAUAAUGUAUAUUAUGCAGGUGUUUCUCUUACCCAUCCAUCCAUUUGCUUCCGCUUAUCCUUUUUCAGCUUUUUCCACAAGCUGCAUGUCUUUGGACAGUGGGAGAAAGCCAGAGUACCAAGAGGGAACCCACGCAAACACGGGGCGAACAUGCAAACUCUACUCAGAAAGACCCCAGCCUGAUGUGGGAAUUUAACUCAGUCUCAGGUGGAAUUGCUGCGCUGGCUUCUCUCACUGGGUCCGCCUCUGGGCAGCAUUUCCCUAUAGUUCCCUCCUUCAUACACCUGCUUCACAUUUGCGAUCGAGUGCUGGGUAUAUCUGGCUGGUGGAUUCACCAGUUCUUUGCAG
Long non-coding RNA from Astatotilapia calliptera (eastern happy), 1593 nucleotides. The record is from Ensembl. Lineage: Eukaryota; Metazoa; Chordata; Actinopteri; Cichliformes; Cichlidae.